Molecule: long non-coding RNA, 297 nt
Filed under: Lathyrus oleraceus (garden pea)
Lineage: Eukaryota; Viridiplantae; Streptophyta; Magnoliopsida; Fabales; Fabaceae
Description: Pisum sativum (pea) long non-coding RNA (PSAT_LNC020686)
Source: RNAcentral
UCCUAUCGAGGUCUUCCAGCUAAGAAAGCGAUAAAAUGAGGAAAAGAGGUAAAAGUACCACACAGAUGAAGAUCCGAAGUAACAACGAUUAAAGGAGUAAGAAACCCAGGGAUCUUCCAAGCUAAUGCCAUCAAAGAAAGGUGAGUCAGUACAGUUAAUUGGAAUGAAACUCCAGGGGGUAUCCCAUAACUAAAGUGGGAAAACCACGCAAACCAUCUCUGCGAGAGUCUGUGAGCCCUCACAAAAACUCAACAAAAGGGUUAGUGAAACAUGAUAAGCAUUUUUUUCAUGGAUAAC